UACGUAGGGCGCAAGCGUUAUCCGGAAUUAUUGGGCGUAAAGAGCUCGUAGGAUGUUUGUCGCGUCUGCCGUGAAAGUCCGGGGCUCAACUCCGGAUCUGCGGUGGGUACGGGCAGACUAGAGUGAUGUAGGGGAGACUGGAAUUCCUGGUGUAGCGGUGAAAUGCGCAGAUAUCAGGAGGAACACCGAUGGCGAAGGCAGGUCUCUGGGCAUUAACUGACGCUGAGGAGCGAAAGCAUGGGGAGCGAACAGG
RNAcentral lists this ribosomal RNA (253 nucleotides) under uncultured bacterium. RNAcentral's name for it is "partial 16S ribosomal RNA". It matches the Rfam family "Bacterial small subunit ribosomal RNA", at positions 524 to 776 of the family's 1533-position model. The record is from RNAcentral.